RNAcentral lists this ribosomal RNA (2073 nucleotides) under marine sediment metagenome. Its description in RNAcentral is "bacterial LSU rRNA". It matches the Rfam family "Bacterial large subunit ribosomal RNA", at positions 3 to 1996 of the family's 2925-position model. The record is from RNAcentral.
UCAAGCUAGGAAGGGCACACGGUGGAUGCCUUGGCGUCGAGAGGCGAUGAAGGACGUGGACAGCUGCGAAAAGCUUCGGGGAGUGGCUAACACACUUUGAUCCGAAGAUAUCCGAAUCGGGAAACCGUCUGGGGUAAUACCCAGAAGUCCAACGCUGAAUACAUAGGCGUUGGAUAGCCAACCCAGGGAACUGAAACAUCUAAGUACCUGGAGGAAAAGACAUCAACCGAGACUCCCCUAGUAGCGGCGAGCGAACGGGGACUAGCCUAAACCAUAUCAAUGUAAGCUUAGGGGCGUUGUUGAUAUGGGGUCGUGGGUCCAGUGGGAGAGCGCCCUAAUGCUCUCACAGAGUUACAAAACCAAAUGUUAGAUGAACGAUCUGGAAAGGUCGGCGAUACGAGGUGACAGCCCUGUAGUCGAAAGCGUUUGGUCUCUGCACUGGUACCCGAGUACCACGGGGCACGUGGAAUCCUGUGGGAAUCUGGGAGGACCAUCUUCCAAGGCUAAGUACUACUCGACGACCGAUAGUGAACAAGUACCGUGAGGGAAAGGUGAAAAGCACCCCGGCAAGGGGAGUGAAAUAGUACCUGAAACCGUGUGUCUACAAGCAGUCGAAGCACUAUGCCCUUCGGGGAAUGUGCGACGGCGUACCUUUUGCAUAAUGGGCCUACGAGUUACGCUUUGUUGCAAGGUUAAGCCGAUAGGUGAAGCCGCAGGGAAACCGAGUCCAAAUAGGGCGAAAUUAGUAGCAGGGCGUAGACCCGAAACCGAGCGAUCUAUCCUUGGGCAGGUUGAAGCGUGAGUAAAAUUGCGUGGAGGACCGAACCCACUGAAGUUGAAAAUUCAGGGGAUGACCUGAGGAUCGGAGUGAAAGGCUAAUCAAGCUCGGAGAUAGCUGGUUCUCCGCGAAAUAUAUUGAGGUAUAGCGUCUAGUGAAUUGCGCCGGAGGUAGAGCACUGGAUGGGCUAGGGGUCCUACCAGAUUACCAAACCCAACCAAACUCCGAAUGCCGGUGACAACUGCUAGGCAGUCAGGCUGCGGGUGAUAAGGUCCGUAGCCAAGAGGGAAAGAGCCCAGAUCGACAGCUAAGGUCCCUAAUCCACACUAAGUGUGAAAGGAUGUGGGGGCGCUCAGACAGCCAGGAGGUUGGCUUAGAAGCAGCCAUCCUUUAAAGAAAGCGUAACAGCUCACUGGUCGAGCGAACCCGCGCCGAAAAUGUAACGGGGCUAAGUGUGGUACCGAAGCUUCGGGUUCUAAUUUAUUAGAGCGGUAGCGGAGCAUUCUCACGCAGAUACAAGGUGUACCGUAAGGAGCACUGUCGGGCGUGAGAAGAGCUUAUGUAGGCAUGAGUAGCGAUAAAGAGGGUGAGAAACCCUCUCGCCGUAAGCCCAAGGUUUCCCAGGGAAGAAUAAUUCUCCUGUGGGUUAGUCGGCCCCUAAGUGGAGCCCGAAAGGGGUACACGAUGGGAAGCAGGUUAAUAUUCCUGCACCACUAAGGAAUCCAUUGAUCUAAGCAGGGACGGAGAAGGAUAGGCCGAUCGGGCGAAUGGAAGUGCCCGUUCAAGCAGGUAGGAGGUUCCCGUAGGAGGCGAUAGCCACAAACGCGGGAACAUUACUCCGAGACGUGAUGAGGUGGAGCUCCGGCUCCGUAACUCGGUGAUUCCAUGCUUCCAAGAAAAGCUGCGUAGUGAGGAUCUUUAGUGACCGUACCGCAAACCGACUCAGGUGGGCGGGGUGAGAAUCCCAAGGCGCGUGAGAGAACACUGGCUAAGGAACUCGGCAAAUUGACACCGUAACUUCGGGAGAAGGUGUGCCCGUGCUCGUGAUGAGACUUGCUCUCUGAGCGGGUGUGGGUUGCAGAGAAUAGAGGGUUGCGACUGUUUACCAAAAACACAGGACUCUGCGAACUUGUAAGAGGACGUAUAGGGUCUGACGCCUGCCCGGUGCUGGAAGGUUAAGAGGAGUUGUUAGCUUCGGCGAAGCAGUGAAUCGAAGCCCCAGUAAACGGCGGCCGUAACUAUAACGGUCCUAAGGUAGCGAAAUUCCUUGUCGGGUAAGUUCCGACCUGCACGAA